Molecule: ribosomal RNA, 372 nt
Filed under: uncultured organism
Description: bacterial SSU rRNA
Rfam family: Bacterial small subunit ribosomal RNA
Source: RNAcentral
CGUAGGUUGCGAGCGUUGUCCGGAUUUACUGGGCGUAAAGCGCGCGCAGGCGGUUCCGAAAGUCGAGCGUGAAAGCUCCUGGCCCAACUGGGAGAGGCCGUUUGAAACUUCGGGACUUGAAGGCGGGAGAGGCAGAUGGAAUUUCCGGUGUAGCGGUAAAAUGCGUAGAUACCGGAAGGAACACCAGUGGCGAAAGCGAUCUGCUGGCCCGCCCUUGACGCUCAGGCGCGAAAGCUAGGGGAGCGACCGGGAUUAGAUACCCCGUUAGUCCUAGCUGUAAACAAUGGGCACUAGGUGUUGUCGGUAUCGACCCCGGCAGUGCCGAAGCUAACGCAUUAAGUACCCCGCCUGGGGAGUACGACCGCAAGGUUA